This 253-nucleotide ribosomal RNA is filed under the name uncultured bacterium. RNAcentral's name for it is "partial 16S ribosomal RNA". It matches the Rfam family "Bacterial small subunit ribosomal RNA", at positions 524 to 776 of the family's 1533-position model. The record is from RNAcentral.
UACGUAGGGGGCGAGCGUUGCCCGGAUUUAUUGGGCGUAAAGAGCUCGUAGGCGGCUGUCUAAGUCGGGUGUGAAAUCCCAAGGCUUAACCUUGGGUCUGCAUUCGAUACUGGGUGGCUUGAGUCUGGUAGGGGGACCUGGAAUUCCUGGUGUAGCGGUGGAAUGCGCAGAUAUCAGGAGGAACACCGGUGGCGAAGGCGGGGUCCUGGGCCGGUACUGACGCUGAGGAGCGAAAGCGUGGGGAGCAAACAGG